AAAUAAAAUUCUUUAUGGUUUAGUAAUUUAUUAUAAAUUUAUUUUACAUAUAAAUUUUAGUGUUAAAUAUUAAUUAUUUAAAUAAUAAUUAUUUAUUUUGUAGUAAUUAAUAUUAAAAUAUUUAAGAAAUUAAGAUUUAGUAAUAUUUAAAUUAAUAACAAAUUUUGUGCCAGCAGUUGCGGUUAAACAAAAAUUAAAUUAAAUUUUAUUAGUAAUUAAUUAAUAAAUAUUUUUAUAAUAAAAAUUUUAAAUUAUUAGGUGAAAUUUUAAUUUAAUUAAAUUUUAUAUUUAAAUUUAUGAUUUAAUAAAUUUUAAAAAAAACUAGGAUUAGAUACCCUAUUAUUAAAAUUUAAAUUUAUAAUACUAAAAUAGUAAUUAAUUAUUUAUUGAAACUUAAAUAAUUUGGCGGUAUUUUAGUUCAUUUAGAGGAAUCUGUUUAAUAAUUGAUAAUCCACGAAUAAAUUUACUUAAUUUAAUAUUUUGUAUAUCGUUGUUAAAAAAAUAUUUUUAAAAAAAAUUAAUAUUUAAAAAUUUUGAAUUAAUUUAAAUCAGAUCAAGAUGCAGAUUAUAAUUAAGAAUAUAAUGGAUUACAAUAAAUUUAUUUAUACCAAUAUUAAUUUGUAAUAAUUAAUUGAGGGUGGAUUUAAAUGUAAUUUUAUUUAAUUUAUUAAAAUGAUUAAAAAUUAAAAUAUGUACAUAUUGCCCGUCACUUUCAUAUAAUUAUAAUUUAAUUAUAAUAAAUUGAAAUAAGUCGUAACAAAGUAGAGGUACUGGAAAGUGUUUCUAGAAAGAA
This 793-nucleotide non-coding RNA is filed under the name Helicoverpa armigera conferta. Lineage: Eukaryota; Metazoa; Arthropoda; Insecta; Lepidoptera; Noctuidae. The record is from RNAcentral.